This is a long non-coding RNA of Toxotes jaculatrix (banded archerfish), 211 nucleotides long. RefSeq lists it as uncharacterized. The transcript is spliced from 3 exons. The record is from RefSeq and is a predicted model, not a curated record. NCBI's taxonomy places the organism in Eukaryota, Metazoa, Chordata, Actinopteri, Toxotidae.
GCCAUUUAUUCGGAUGUGUGUGGAGUCUUUGAGGUUUACAUACAACGCGCAACACAUAUCCACUGGGAGGAGCAGUUCAUGGAGUAGCUCAGCUCUUGGUGGAACUGAGGGACCCCGGUGUCACGGAGCGGCCCUGCAAGAGUCUCCCUCCCAUGGUCAAACCCGACACUCUGGUGCAAACGUCGUAAAGUGCCAGUUGCUCAAACAUAAA